UAAGAUUAUUCGCUAAAAUUUAUUUUUUCUUUGCUUAUGCUGAUGUGGCUGUGCCACAUCACCCGGCCACCACACCCGGUCCCCAAUCCCUACUCCCUAAAAUUAUACCAAUAAAUAACACUCUUUUUUUUUAAUACAAUGAUAAUAUAAAUAAUUAAUAUUAUACUUCAUACAUUUCUAAAUAAGUGUCGUUUAAAUUUUUUGCGCAUAGAUUAAAAAAGUCAUUUAAUACUAUCAUUUACUAAUAAUUAAAAUCUGUAUGAAAUUUCAUCACUACCCCUUUAUGGGAAGUUGAAAAUUAUUAAUACUAAAUGUGAGAAUUUCUUAGGAUAAUGAGAGAAGAUAAGGGUGAUACUCCCUCCAUUCCUUAAUAUAAGUCGUUUUAGAAAAAUAUUUUUGUACCUUAAUAUAAAUCGUUUUAGAAUUUCAAGUAAGCAUUAAUUGCUUAGUUUCCAAUAUUAUCCCAAGUAUUAAAUGUAAUUUUAGUUCUCUCACUAUUUUUUGUCCAAUAAAUAACAAUAUCUUCUUCCAAUACAAGGGCAAAAUAGACAAUUGAUAUUAUAGUUAAUGCUAUACAAUCAUUUCCUUAAUAUUUGUGUACAGCUCUAAAACGACCUAUAUUAAAGAACGGAGGGAGUAUAAGAAAGUAAAUAAUUUAUUCUCCUAGAAAGUUGUAAACGACAGAUAAUUUGGAACAAAUUUUUUCUUUCAAAAAGUCACUUAUUUAAGAAUGGAGGGAGUAUUUAAUACUAUAUAAUCAUCUCCUUAAGUAUUUUAUGUACAAUUCUAAAAUGACAACCAUAGCAUUGAACAUGGCCAAAACUUUCGCAUGAGAAGCAUAAUUGGCCUAACCAAAAUACACAGUAGAACCCAAAAAUGCAAGAACAUCAAUUCAAUAUAGGCAUGAGAAGCAUCAUUUUAAUAUUUUUACUAAAACCUAAAAAUGCAAGAGCAUCAAUUCAAAGUUCAGACUAAAAUUGGAAAGGGUAAGAACAUCACACCAAAAGCAUCAACUAUCAAGAGGAGAUGUUUAAGUUACUCUCGUCCCUCUCUAUUCUCCCCUGCAUUCUGCACAAGACGUUUGAGAGUCACAAAGUGAGUUCUAGUAAGAAAUAUCCUUACAUACAUAAUAUGCUCUUACAAAUUGCAUCAAUUGCGUUAUCGCAUGUUUAUGCUUAGUUCGAUACCAUGUUUUUAUACUCCGCUUUAGAAAAAGGGGUCCUACUUUGUUUCUUCGACUUUCUUUUUGAAUGAUCAUGUUUGAAUACGACACACUUCAGCAAAAUCCCAAAUUAAUAUGGAUUUAUUCAUCAAACUUCUGACAAGAAUAGCUUUGUUUAAGAAUUUCCUAACAAACAGUUUUAUCUUUAGAGAGUGAUAGAGAUCAUACUUCGGAGCUCAGUUGAGGCGCAGCCAUAGAUGCUGAACAUCCGGGCAAGGCAAGAUAGGCUUCAACUUCAUCACCUGCAAGCAAGGGACAAAACACAAAUGAUUUCGAAUUUCCACAGUUAUGUUAAAUUCAUAUUUCCCAAUUAUAAAUUGGCAUCCCACAGAUUGUGCAGGAUUUUAUUUUCACAGAUUGCCUUUACUUAUCCUAGUCCCAAGCCAUAUGAUUAUGAUCAAGUCAGAUUACUAACUUUAAGCUUAUCACCUAUGAACUUCCUGGAGCCAUUUGCUUGCCCAAGUAAGGUACAUUACAUGGUUGUCAAUGUCUACCCAUGUGUCAACUUCAAUUUUAAGUCCAUCACAAAUUUUGAUAUAGCAAGUAUUUCUUUUAGAAAGAUUUUGGCACAAAGUCUCUAGAUUAAUCAGAAUUCUCCAAGCUUGUUCACCCAGAAGCACAAAAGAGUUUGGCUUAAAUUUUUCUAUUAUCUUAUCUGAUCUGAUCUCUAUAUUCCUCAUUUCUCAAUCAGCGGAGGGAUGCUGCCCAUCAAUCCAAAGAUUCUAAAGGCAACACCUUGAAACUCGACAACACCACCUAUGAACGGCUACCGAUUAAGAAGGGAACUAAUAGAGAAAAAUGUUAUAGCUCUGACAACAACACCAACUAAUGUUAAGGGUCUCAAAUGUGUCAAAAAUACACGUCAUCAUUACAUUAGUUGCUCAACAUCAUGGCAGAUCCUAAGCAAUCAUUGCUAACCAGUGUAAUGAUACAUGUGUAUUUCAGACCCAAAAUUUGAGACCCAUAGCGUUACUCAAUAACACGACAUGCCAACCUCCAUUUGCAAUCCACCCACCUCCUAAACUAACGUCAAAAUAGUUGCCUACAUAACCACCAAACCAUGAUGUAUAAAAGAUCCACCCUCUUCCUUCUCGGCAUUGUUAUCUAACUUCAAAAGUUAACGAGGUCACAAAUUAUUCACUUCAGGUAAUUCUCAAAGAGAAUUUCGGCCACGGAAAAAUUUCAGCUACAUCUCUGUAGAACUUCUUUGGUCUAGACAAAGAUUCCAGACACCCUUAAAAUCUAUCUGUCACUAUCAACCAAGCUUGUCCCUUGCAAACUUCUGUCAGCAACAUCGAGUGACCCUCCAAGUUCACCUCCACCACCGUAAAACUACUCCAGCAGUUGGAGUAGCAAGACACUGCUACUCUCUGAUCUGGUCACACUUAUUCUUACCAGCCUCUUCUGUGAUGGGAUGGCUUCGCUUGCCUUAACCAAUAGCACACCCAAGGCAGCUCUUCCCCAAGCAAACAUACCUCCUUAGCAUACCCAUUGCUUUGCUCAAGCUAUCUGAAAGCUGAUAUCCCCAAACCCCAGUAUUCCAUAAGUUCAUAGGACUCUAGUCAAGUUGAACGGGAAGUUCUCUCUCUCUCUCUCCAUUUCAGAUAUAUUAUUAAAGACAUUCAUUUGCAGCAUUUAUUUUUAAUGCAUUAUGUUGCGAUCUUUUUUGAUUUUUUUCAUGAGGUGAUAGAAAUUAGUCUUCGAUCCUCUAUAGGUAAUCGUCGACUUUUCAAGUCAAUAGGAUUUCUUCUCUAACCAAUAAGUUCGUCCCUGAGUUAUUUACCCCUUUUACAGUCUUCAAGGCUAAAUUGGAAUUUAUAUUUUACCAAAUUUUGUUUAAUUUUGCUCAAUCUUAACACUUAGAUGUUGAUAGUUAUUUUUAUUUUCUCAUAUUUCUAAGUAUAUUUUUAUAAACCCCCNNNNNNNNNNNNNNNNNNNNNNNNNNNNNNNNNNNNNNNNNNNNNNNNNNNNNNNNNNNNNNNNNNNNNNNNNNNNNNNNNNNNNNNNNNNNNNNNNNNNCUACUUACUAUUUAUAAAAUUUAGUUGGUUCAUUGUUUUACUUUUAUGCCCUUAUAAUAAAUAUUCAACCAUUACUCUUUUUUUGAAGAAACAAUAUUCAAUGUCAUUAUUUUUAUCACCACAUUUAAUGUUGUUGUAUUCUCUUUGGUUUAAGUUCUAUGGUUAUGGACUCUAAUGGUUAGUACACGUCAAUCAAUGAAGUUGAGAGUUCCAAUGUGAAAAGUAAGGAAUAAUUAACUUAUUCAUUAAUUCCAUAUUAACGGGUAUAUGUGAAAAAUUAUGUUAAAAAUUGUCACUUAAACUGAUUUUUUUAAACUAUGUGCCAAAAGAAAUCAGCCUAUAACUAUGGGACGGAGGGAGUAUAUAUAUGUGUGUGUGUGUGUAAAAUAUGGGAGAUACUAUAAUUUUUUAAUCUCUAACUGUCCUCAUAACUUAGGGCUACUCAUCCAACAAGCUUCAAAUAGAGUAAAUGUAGGCUACAAAGGAUGCCUGGGAGCUGUAUCCAACAAAGGAGGGGGCUUUAAUCUGGAUUUUCGAUAGAGUGAGACACAUAAUAGCCUCGUAAUAUAGUUUUCAUUCAUUCUUCUUACCAAUCUUUCACAACAGUCCCAAUUUAAUAUUGACAGAAAAAAUCUCAAGGUGUUUUUUUGUUUAAUUUAACCACCAAAAGAGAGAACUUUGGUCUCACGAAAAAGAAGCGCAUGUUAAUUUUUUAUGACAAAGUGAAAAAACAUUUAUAUAAUUACAAGGAUUAGAGAAGGCCCAAGAAUAUACCUGCUGAGUUGCUGGCUUUGCUUAAUUCUCUUUUAAUGUGCUAAAUCUUAACACUUAGAUUUCAUGGUUAUUCUUAUUCAUGAUCUCAUGCUUAUAAUCAUAAUUUAAUUCUCUAUCCUAAGAUUUCAAAAAAUACCCAAAAUAUUUUCUCUCAACCGCCAUUCAUAACUUCUUUUCCUUCUAGGCUAACAAUCUAAAAGUCUUAAAUUUAGUAUAUCUAGGCUAAAAAGAAUAACUGGGGAUUAGUAUCUAGCAAAAGAGGGUUACGAUUAGAUUGUGAUAGGGUGAGUAACCAAUGGUUCGCCACAUAUGUCUCUACAUUGCCAAAUUCUACAUCAAAUCUUCACGGUCUCAAACAUCUUAUUGUUACAUCAAGUAUAGUGUUGCCCUUUAGCUAACAUCUCAUGUAACUUGCACUGAUUAACAUAAUUAUGUUCAUAAUUUUUGACCAAAGUGUAAAGUGUUUCAAUCUAAUAAGGGUUGACGAAGUCCCCUGCAGUUCUAAACAAAAAUUCUUAAGGUAAAUUGGAUUGCUGUUUUGGGAAUCAAAACCCUCAGCAAUAACACCGAACCAAAUUAGAAACAAGAAGUGUAGGAGUGAUAGAAAGGAUUCAUACCUAUACCACCUUGAAACUGUGGUUCCAAUUUUGUCUCACCAUAUGGCAAUUUAGCAAAUACAGCAAAUUCGAUAGCAUUGACAGAUUGUAUUUGACAUUGGGUCACAUAUAACAAAUGUUGUAAUUUAUCACGAGCUGUUUUCAUUCUUGAAACAACUUCAUUAUCUUCUUCAGUUGAUACGGGAUCUCCAUUAAUUUCUCCAAUUUUGCCAUUUUGUCUUGCUUCAAGCCGUAGUUUCGGAUUCAUCUCCAUGUUACCACUUUCUUUAUUCUCGACCAUAUUCGAUAUCACCAAGAAUUUCCUUGGUCUUCCCAUCUCUUCUAUUUCAAUUAUUUCUUUAUUCAUACACCUCUCAAUAUUCCGUUCCUUUUCUCUUUUGGUUGAAGCUCUUGUUUUCACCAUCUGGCAAAUUAAACUAUACCUUUCUUCACCCCACUCUUUCUUAGAUUGAGCCGAAGUGAUCUAGAAGCAAAGAAACCAACAGCCGCUCUAUUCUAAUUCUCGUUUUUCUCUUUUAUGGUAGUAGGGUUCCAGCUAGAAUGUGUAUUUAAAAGGUCAUGUACUGAACUAGGGCUGUAACCAGAUGUACAUACAUCUGUAUAUGCAUUGUAUCCGACAAAUAUUAAGUCGUAUCUGUAUCUGACGGUUAUUAUUCAAAUAUGAAUAUUAUCCAUAUCAGUUAUUUAAAUAUUCAGAUGUCCGUAUUUAUACCUGAUAAUAUCUAAAUUUGUAUCAAAAAUUUUCUACAAUUAACGUUUUAAAUUCAUGUUAUACUAAUUGGAAUAGACAAAGGAGUUGUUAAGAUAUUAGGCCACCAAAAGUAUUGCUUAACCAACCAGAUAAAAAUUAGAAAAAUGCACCUACUAAAUAAAUUUUAAAAAAAAUCGUAAUAUUCAUCAACAAAAAACUGUCAAUGGUUCUUUUUCCGUUGCCAAGUAAAAAUUGUAAAUGGUUUCAAAUACAAUACACCAAAAUCAUAGCACAUAUAGAAAACAUAAAUACUCAAUUAAUAUUGUUGUUAUAUCAUGUACAAAGAGUAAAUGAGAAAUUCAUUUUCCAUAAAAAUGCUUGCUAAUAUGAGAAUUAUAUUAUAAAAGCAUCCAUUAAAAAAAUAAUACGAAUUUCUUAUUUAAUCUUGGUUCACAAUACAAAAAAAUAACUUAGAUGCAAUAUUGAAAGAUAUAUGAAUUAUUCUAUAUGGAAACAAAAAAUAUAUGGAAUACUAAUCUUGCAAUUUGGUAACUUUUUGACGAUAAAGAAGUGAUCUAGAUUUAGUUUUAAGUAUGCAUAAUUGAUUUACUAAUAUUUUUUAUAAAGUGUUACUACUUGCUUGCAACUGACCAAUAUUUGGAAAAGAAUGAAUGAAAUUUUAAUUAUUUCUUGACGAUUUUAUGUAUUAUUUGCAUAUGAAAAUUUGAAGGUAAAUUAAAAGUCUUCUUAUGCACAAAUAUUUUACUCUAACAUUGAUUUAGUUGUGCAAACAAUGACGUGGAUGAUUGCAUAAGCAUUCAAUUUUCAUGUCAUCCAUUAAACUAUUUUCUGCAUUCCCAGGGUAGACCAAUUCAAUAUAGAUUCUUAAUUUCUGCAUUGAAAGUAGUUCCAAGUUAUAAAUUCUAAUGUCUAAUGAAAGUGAUUGCUCUAAUAGCAUUGAUGAGCUAUGUAUAUUAUUUUAUUUGAGUUAAGGUGUACAACCAUUUGAUUUAUUUUCAGGAUGUGUAUUUAUUCUGAUAUGUAGACUUUCUUUACCAGCAACUUGCAUAAUUUAGACAGAGCUCAGCCAAGAAUGGUUUAUCAAAUUUACACAAAGAGACCUCUAACAAGUUACAAUUAUAUUAAUAUUCAAGGCGCAACUUAAUAAUUGUUAAAUCUGCUGAUAUUAGAGUAUAUGAUUAUUAAGUACUUUUUGUAUGGUAUGUAAUGAAACGAUCUUAUUAAGUUCAUUUAUUAAAGUAGUGUUAAUUGUUAAUAUUAUUGCAUUCGCUUGUUUUGCCUAAAUGUGAUGUAGAAAACUCUUUUAAUUAAUGAUUAUCUUAUUUCCCUUGUCUUCUAUCAUACAAACUUUUAAAAGUUUCUUCAUGUACUUUUAGUGAUGGCCAAUUUUGGAGAUAAAUAGAAUACUACUUGAUUCAGAAUACAUAGGCCUCAUAUUAUAUACCUUGAUAUACCAUACAAAUUAAAGACAAACUAAAAAAGAAUUAGAAUAAUUUUAUAAUUUAAUCAUCAUUUAUAUAUAAUUUUCCCGUGCAUAGCACGAGUGGGUAAUAGUUUCAAGUAUUAGAGAGGUCUCGAGUGUGAAAGUGACUUAACAUGACAAAGGUCCCAUUUGUUGCAAUUUAUUUUAUUAGAUAAUACUCCCUCCGUUCUAUGAUAAAAGUCCUUAUUACUAUUUUGGGUAGUCCCAUGUUAAAUGUCCAUUUUCCAUUAAUAACUAAGGGUGUAAACGAGUCGAAUCUCAGCGAACACCUUCAUGCUCAGAUUCGGCUCGACUCGAAAAAAUUGAGCUCGAAUUCGACUCGGAUUUGACAAGGGAUUUAAAUUUUUGCGCCAGAUUCUACUCGGAUCAUUACUCGGACCUACUCGACUCGUUUACAAAACGAGUUACUCAUGAGCCUUCAAAUCGAGUUUCGAAUAUGAACCAUUUCACUUAAAACUGAACCACUACAUACUACAUUGGUUACUUAACUAAUAUUUAUAUAUAAAACUUUUUCACUUUUAUUUAUGUAUUGGAAUUAUAAAGAAUGUAAUAAAAAUUGGCAUUCAAUUCAUUGAUUUAUUCAAGUACAAGUUUAUACAAUUUCAUACUACACUUUAUAAAUUACAAAGAUUGAUACAAAUAUCACAUAUUUAGCUUACUAACAUGGAUCAGGCCAAUAGAAUAUGAUCCAUCGAGCAGGUAUCGAGUAUGGUUCGAAAAAAAUGAAAUACUCGAACCCUAAUUUGAGCGAACACUGGUAUGCUCGAAUUCGACUCAUGUAUCAUUAAACAGAAAACGAGUAUGGAUCAUAUUCGACUCGGAUCAACUUCGAAUUCGAGUUUUGGAUCAUAUUUUCGAGCCGAUCUCGAGUCGAGUACCGAACUACUUGGCUCGACUUACACCCCUAUUAAUAACCAAACUUUUACACAUAUUUUCCUAUUAUACCCGUAGCAUUAAAUAUCUCAUACUUUUUUUAUUCUAAUUCUCUUUCCAUAUUUAAUGACAUUAUUAUGGACAAUUUUGUCAUUUCAUUCAUCUUCUUAAUAUGCGUAAAAAGUCCACCAGGACUUUUAUCAUGGGACGGAGGGAGUAGUUAAUUUUAAAUUCAAAGGUAAUGCAUUAAAUGUAACGAAUAAGAAUAAAUUAAAAUCAUAUUGUAGCUUAAAGAAGCAAAUUACAACAGAUUUCUCAAUGGGUGGUUCUCAUCUUAAGGUUGUAUAUUUAGGGCAUUUCUGGAAAGACUUAAAGAGGAAGUGGAGAGAAAUACUUUUGGUUCAGUGUGAGAAAGAGAGGGGAGAAGGCAUUUAAAAAAAUAAUGUGUACAAUGGUGAGAACCAAAUUGAGGGUAAUUGAAAAAUGGAAAGAGCUCAUAAUCAACAGCAACAAUUGAUUAAGGAGAUCAACUAUCAACUUAUCCGCCAAAGCUCUGAGGUUUACUCUGGACCAAAGCUGCCAAAUACUCUAAUUGACAUAGACUAUCUCGUAUUGGUACUUGCAUACCCAAACAUGGUACCGAGUACCAAUACUCUAAAUUUAGCAUACCGAAAAAUUUCUUUGUCGUUUUAUCUAUAAUUGACUUAGUAUUGGAUGGUCAAACAUCAUAUUUGUACUAAAUUAUUUAUAAAACAAGUAAUUGUUAAUUCAACUAAAAGGCUUCUAUAAAACUUAAGUUUAUUGCACAAGUUUAUAAGACACUUCCUAACUAUAAACACUCAUAUAAAUAUACUAAGCGUACCACGUUUUAGAUAUGUAGAAUAGAGCACUGAGCACACUAGUAUUGGUUCCACGGACUGAAACGAACAGUGUUCUAGGUAACAUUGCUCUGGACUAUCCAUUCGUCAAUAGAACUGCAUUGAACGAUGACUUUGUUUAAGACCACAAGAUAUAAACAUUGGCUACACACUUUUAAGGUGGUAUAUGUGUGAUUCGAUUUCUUAUCACUCUUGAAAUACUUUUUUUCAAUUGUGGGUGGGUAUGUUUUUUGUUGAGGGUUUUGAUUCCCAAAACAGCACUAAAACUACCAUAAUUUUUUUCUUGGAACUGCAGGGGCUUGGUCAGCCUUUAUCAGAUGGCAUCAUUUUGCCACUUCGGUCAAAAAUAAAACUGAUUAUAUAUGUAAAACGGAGGAAUGCCAGGAUAAAGAUUCGAUCUUAAGAUAAGGGGGCUUUCUUUUCUUUGAGGCAUUUAAUCAAGCAGGUAAAUUGCAUCAUGCUAAACAUUUAUACAAAAAUUCAAACAUACAAAUAAAGAAAGAUUGAAUUUGUAUUAGAAAUCUGAAGCAGAAGUAAAAAUUUGAAUGUUACAAACAGUUGGGAUCAACUUACUUCAUUCGUAGCAACGGAGAGGGAAGAAGCCAAUUCUACUCCGGGGAAAGUAGUUGCAAGGAGGAGAGAGCAUAAAGCACAGCUAUCCGAACUCUCUAGAGAGUUGAAGAACGCUAUAUUAUCUUCUACUCCCUCAAUCGGAUACGAGUUUGAACCGAUAAGAAUGAGUUUGGAUUUAAAUGGGUUGAAAUUAUAUGAAUUGUAAAUAGAGUGAAUUAUAAAUAGGUGGGCAUAAAUGGACAUGUGUGGAUAUGGGUCACCCGUAUAACCAAUUUCAU
RNAcentral lists this long non-coding RNA (9429 nucleotides) under Panax ginseng (ginseng). RNAcentral's name for it is "long non-coding RNA (PGIN_LNC018061)". The record is from RNAcentral. Lineage: Eukaryota; Viridiplantae; Streptophyta; Magnoliopsida; Apiales; Araliaceae.